AUGGUUUGCAGUUGCAGUACUGCUUCUGAAGCUAAACAACCCACGCAUUGGUCGAAAAAAUACUGCCAAAUCAAAGAGUUGCUACAAAUACAAACACGGCCCCCUACCUCUCCUCAAGGAACCGAAUGUGAGGAGCAAGAUCGAACAUGGGGCUAAUCGCGGAAUGGAAGUGACCCGAGGAAACCAAGGUUUAAGUGCCUCUACGGGUUCAGGACCAGCGGAAAGAUUUUUAAGGAACAGAUCCAUAAGUGACCGGAGUCCUUUCUGAAGAGGGCCGACCUUGUCUUCCCCAGUGGUCUCUUCCCGGCACAGGGCAAGUCCGAUGUCGAAGGCAUCUAUGAUCCUCCCUAUUAUGAAUGGUUCCAAUACAACCAGAGGAUCUCAUAACGAAUGCUGAAUCUUUGGAACAAUGCCUUCUGCGAUGCGAAGGAAUAUACAAUUUACAUGAAUCUCGAGGAAUGCUUCGAGUACGUAGAAGAUUUGAUCAUCAAGCAUGGACCGAUUGAUGAGUUGUUGGUUUUCUCACGGGGGGAAAUUUUGUCGGUGGUGCUCACAGGACUGCAAGCUAAGGCACGAGGAUUGGCAAUACACACUAUACUUACUAAGACCCUCACCCACUCGAGCAAAUAUUACAUGAGUAUUAUUCAUUUAAUUAAAUUAGUCAUUCCAGUGAGAAAGUUUGUAAGUGAAAAAUGACAAAGUAGUCAUCGUAUAAAUUUUCAUUUAGGGGCAUUCUGAUUGAAUAAUAUAUAUUUAGAGUAAAAUACAGUUUGUCCCCUGAGCAUUAAGCCUAGUAGCAAAGUGCUCCAAAACCUUUAAAAAUUUUCACUAUACCACCCAACCUAUCGAAAAAGGAGCAAAGUCCACCCCCAACUACUUUUUCCGAUCACUUUUUCUGCCAAAAUUUAUUUAUUUUUAAUUUAUUGAUAUUCAACAUUUACCAAUAGUCUCAAAAAUAAAAAGAAAAGAGGAACAUAAGAGAAGAAUGUCCCCUAGAGGCAACAAACAAACCCAACAAUCCAUACGCAUUAUUCUUCGAACAGAACAAAUGAGUAUUAUCAUACAAAUUGCAAGCAAACAACAAUUUGGGCAAACAAUUCUACAACAUGAAUCCCUAUGCUUUUAGAUCCAUUCAUUACCUCAACAAUCCCAUCACAGUACAUGGUUAUGCGACAAUUACUUAAAAUUAGUAAAAUCGAUUCCCCUUUAUAUGAUGCGAGAGAGAGACGGAGGCAAUGAACAAUAAUAACCAGUUUUCGAACAUAAUCGAUACAACAAAAGACAACAGAUCAUUGGAGUAUACGGAAAUUACAAGUCCAAUCUUGAAGCUCGAGGAAUUGCUAUGAACUACGAGCUCUCAGAUUUGCAUGAAAGUCCAGCAAAAUAGUGGAGCAACUUCACCGGUGAAAUUGAUUGAGCGUGUUUGGUUUCAAGGAUUUAGGGAGAAAUUCUUCCCUCGCCCUAAAUGACGAUCUUAUGUUCUUAUUUUUUUUUCCUUUUUUUUUGUUUUUGAAAUUAUUUCAUAACUGCUGAAUUUAAUUAAUUAAUAAAAUAUAAAAUAUGCCUGAAAAAGUUACUAGAAAGUAGUCAUGGUGCACUUUGCUUCUUUUUUGAUAUGUUGUGGGGUAUUGUGCAAAAUUUUGAAGGUCAGAAGGCACUCUGUUAUUAAGC
Non-coding RNA from Punica granatum (pomegranate), 1671 nucleotides. Lineage: Eukaryota; Viridiplantae; Streptophyta; Magnoliopsida; Myrtales; Lythraceae. The record is from RefSeq and is a predicted model, not a curated record.